GCCAAGUGUUUUGUCCCUGGGGUGCUGAAUAGACGGCAAAUCUUUGGCACGGAGAGGGCUCGUGUUUGCUUUGGGAAGGAGAGCUGGCCGGGCUCCCGCCGCGAGCUCUGGACAUCUGAGGAAAGGCUAGCUGGAAAGAAUUACGUCGUGACGCAGGCGGGGGAAAGCCAGGAAAUUCAAACCCAAGGCAGAGGCUCCUACCUUAACUCGUUCUGGCAAGGAAAAAAUAAUUGUGAAGUGUUAACACCGCACACUUGGUUACGAAACGAGCCAGCUUUCAAGAGUUCCUUGGGAGGCUCAAGGUUUUGACCGAUUUAUUGUGAUAGAGGUCGGAGAACUCGUUGGAGGAGUGGGGAAUUUAAACCAUAACUGGAAGAAAAAUUAUGGAUUGCCAUUGUCAAGUACUGCGUGUUUUUGCAACUGCCUUGGCAUGGUCCUUUUGCUAAACCCCUUCUAAUAUUCUAUUAUUAUCUCUGUAUCCUUUGAGGGAUAAAGGAUCCUUCUUUCUCUCCUACUAAUUUUGUUCCACCUGCUUUGCAACAUCGCAAAGCCUUGGGGUUCCCUCAUCUCGUUUUUUGUACGCUCGACAUUGCAAAAGCCCAGCUGCUUCGUAGGGUAACGGUUAAACUGCCAUUAGGAGGAUGCAAGAUUUUAUCGCAAGCAUUUGAUGGGAAAUGCUUCUGCAGCCGGACUCGCAGCUCUUCCCCUUCGCAAAAGGAAGACGCGUUGCCUGCUUCAUCUGCUAAAGGGAACAUGUGGUUUUAUCUCACUGUCUGGUCUUCAAUGUUCGCCUGUAGUGGAAGAAAGGACCCCCGCGUCCAGCGCGAGCAGCUGUGUUUUGCAGCCAGAGGACAAGAACAGCUCGAGCCCUGGAGGGGCUGAACUUGCCUCUCGCAGCUUCCCCCCGCGGGUCCCCAGAGCAGGUCCUGCGGGGCCGAGCUUCAAAGCGCCGUCGCGGUGCAGGGUCUCCGCACGGUGUGGGGCCUCCGCUUCCUAUGUCGCUUGAGUUGAGCAGCUGCCGGGGAGGUGGUGCCUCGCGGCCGCCCUCGUCCUCCCUCUGCUCGCUGGGAAGCGGCGGGAUAACCAGGAGCAACGAGCAGGAGUUGCAGAAGCCAGGUCGUCUCCAGUUUUUUGGAACAGAAGUCGAGGUACAUUUAUGGGAUGAAAAGGAUGAAGGAAGGUGACUCGAGGGCAGCUUGUGCCUCAUUGCACCAGGGCGAAGCACCUCAGCUUCUGCCCUUAGCAGCCUCGCUGCUGCUUGGACUGUAACUGGUCCAAAGGGUCAUAGCUUGAAUGUUGAAAUUCCAGUUUUUUGCCUGUUUUCCAGGCGGGUGUACAGCAAUACUCGUUUGUGAUGCAGAGUACCCCCGCUUCAUCCGUUUGCUUCCCACCCUGUGCAAAUGGAUGGCAAGGAAGCCGAGCGUCGGUGGUCACCGCACCCGCGGCAAGGCCGUGCUGGAGCAGAAGCCAGCUGGACUUCUUGUGACAUUGCAGUAAUUUACGCCCCGAGUAGGGCCAGGAGGGGAUGGUGUCUCCUGAGGUGCAUGCCUGAGUCGUGGUGGCACUUCAUGACGCUCCCAGCGUGGUGCUAGCCCUGCUUUUGCAGGAUAUCAGCUUUUCUGCCUUAACGGGUGAACUGCUGCUCGCCAGACCGCGUCCGUCCCUUUUGCACAGAAUAAGCUGCCUGCAGGCAACGGGGCUCGGCUUGAAGAGGGCAGAGACUGCUCGAAAAGCUGGGAAAAGCCCCAGGGCCCAGCUCCACGGGCCGUUUGUGUCCUCAGCCCGAGCGCUUGGGGACCCUUGCGUGCGGGGCCUGUCCCCCUCCGUGGCCCUGCAGAGCGACGUGGUGACGGCGUCCCGCGGCCGGGGCGGUGACAGGACACACGGGGCACUCGGUGACUUCUCUUUGAAGGCAACGUUGCUAAAGAUUUAAAAAUGUGAAGCAAUCGUGCUGCGUGUUUCCUAACAAAAGGGCUUCCAGGAGCUGGGUCCAAACCAGCAACGUCAUCGUGAAAGCAAAUGGAGGCCACCGCGCUAAAGGGCAACGAAAGGCACGUGAGAACGGAGCGAGGUCAGGAGAUGCCGAUUUCGGGAGUCUCCUUUUUCCCUGCGUCCCCAAGGGCGGACGGGAAGGUCCGCGGGACUGCCUGGUUCCCGCAUCUCUGAUCCGCUACCUGGCCAUCGUGCUGUGCCCGCGGGCCAGGGACGGACUGUUGGGGACCAGGGACGGCCGCGGGCGGCUGUACCCGGCUCCUGCAGACACUGCAGCCCGCGGUCCCAUGGUUGCACAAACGUUAGCGUCAGUGCCAAGAAAAGCGGUGGGAGCGUAGGGCUGGGAUGAAGGGGAAGGAUGGUCCCUUUUCGGCUGGCUUUUAUCCUCCUGAAAUGCCUGUGGUGCUGCGUCCUGUGCAAGCGGGUUGAGCGGCCGGUUUCUGACUCGGGCUCGGUAUUGCCUCCUCGCCUCCGCCCUGGGAAUGGCCCAUCGCCCCGCGUCCCACCGGCUGUCGAGCUGCAAAGCGAGCAACGGCCUCCGCGUUUUCUAAAUGGAUUUCUGCCGCGAUAAGUGCUUUCAUUACUGGAAGGGUCUGCGGCGUUGCAGGUGGUGAUGGGGCGCCAGGGAGACGAGCUGACUUGCUCCAUCAGUGAAUCCCUCGUUUUGGGGACCAGGGCACAGCUCGGAGGGCGAACUCGGCUCGUAGGGGUACCGCUGCCUGCUCUAGCCGGGAAACGGAGCCAACGGCAGCGCUGAUGAAACGCCAGGCCCACAAACCCUGUUCCUCCGCUUUUAAUUUGGGUCUAGAUCAGUUCCUGGGAUACGAAUGUCCCACAGUCAAGGAAUACGCAAGGGAUUUUAAAUAAGGCCACGCUACAUCCAAAAUCAGGACCUGGGCUCCUCUGUAAAAAUGCCAAGUUAAUUAUUUAUACUGCUAGAGCCGUUCCUCUGGACGGAAAGAGGGAAAUCGAUAGCAGAGCAACGAUGACCCGUGUCAGCCCGCGCUCCUGUCACCAGCCUCCUGGCACCAUCUCCUGCCACUCCAGUCUGUGCAGCAGCCCGUCAGCCCCCGCUGAAAACUCAGCUGGGUGGUUUCUCUUGACAAUAAGCCUCAAAAUGUUCCGGUUUUCUGCCUUGUAGGCAGGAGGGGUGCGAGCCCGGCUGUAGAGAAGGUGCAGCGCAGCUCCGAGUCUUAGAAAACAUUUGCUGUGUGAAACUAUACGUUAGAAUUUCUAUAGGUUUGGAUGUUGUGCAGAUAAUGGCCUUUUGCAGUAACGUGUACACACGCAUGCACGUGCUAUCUUGCAUGCAUAUUUAUUCAGUGGCAAGACAGAUAGCUUGGAAGAGAACCAUGUUUGCAAAGGGCUGCAAUGGCAAAUGUUUUCUUCUCAUGUCUGCGUUACACAGCACGUAACAGAAGCCGAGAUAUCACUGGGAAUCUGUAGGAAAUGUAAUUUAUUCUAUCAAUGUCAAAUACACAUACAAAACAG
Molecule: long non-coding RNA, 3483 nt
Organism: Dromaius novaehollandiae (emu)
Lineage: Eukaryota; Metazoa; Chordata; Aves; Casuariiformes; Dromaiidae
Exons: 2
Source: RefSeq, a predicted model, not a curated record